This 254-nucleotide unclassified non-coding RNA is filed under the name uncultured Gemmatimonadota bacterium. RNAcentral describes it as "uncultured Gemmatimonadetes bacterium contains 16S-23S intergenic spacer region". It matches the Rfam family "Bacterial small subunit ribosomal RNA", at positions 524 to 776 of the family's 1533-position model. Lineage: Bacteria; Pseudomonadati; Gemmatimonadota. The record is from RNAcentral.
GACAGAGGGUGCGAGCGUUGUUCGGAAUUACUGGGCGUAAGGCGCGCGCAGGCGGAUCCUGCAAGUCGGAAGUGAAAUGUGGCUGCUCAACGGCCACGCUGCUUCCGAUACUGCGGAUCUGGGGACCGGUAGAGGCUGGUGGAAUUGCAGGUGUAGCGGUGGAAUGCGUAGAGAUCUGCAAGAACACCCGUGGCGAAGGCGGCCAGCUGGGCCGGAUCCGACGCUGAGGCGCGAAAGCGUGGGGAGCAAACAGG